RNAcentral lists this ribosomal RNA (369 nucleotides) under uncultured organism. RNAcentral describes it as "bacterial SSU rRNA". It matches the Rfam family "Bacterial small subunit ribosomal RNA", at positions 526 to 896 of the family's 1533-position model. The record is from RNAcentral.
CGUAGGGAGCUAAGCGUUGUCCGGAUUCACUGGGUGUAAAGGGUGCGUAGGCGGGACAAUAAGUCAGUGGUGAAUUCUUACGGCUCAACCGUGAAACUGCCAUUGAUACUGUUGUUCUUGAGUUCGGGAGAGGUUGAUGGAAUUCCAGGUGUAGCGGUGAAAUGCGUAGAUAUCUGGAAGAACACCAGUGGCGAAGGCGGUCAACUGGCCCGAAACUGACGCUGAGGCACGAAAGCGUGGGUAGCGAACAGGAUUAGAUACCCUGGUAGUCCACGCCCUAAACGAUGAAUGCUUGGUGUUGGCCGGAAACGGUCAGUGCCGGAGGUAACCUGGUAAGCAUUCCACCUGGGGAGUACGCUCGCAAGGGUG